GGAGAGGUGGCCGAGUUGGCUUAAGGCGGUGGUUUGCUAAACCACUGUACGGUCAAAAGCCGUACCCUGGGUUCGAAUCCCAGCCUCUCCG
This 91-nucleotide transfer RNA is filed under the name Candidatus Zixiibacteriota bacterium. RNAcentral describes it as "candidate division Zixibacteria bacterium (sediment metagenome) tRNA-Ser". It matches the Rfam family "tRNA". From Rfam's summary of the family: Transfer RNA (tRNA) molecules are approximately 80 nucleotides in length. Their secondary structure includes four short double-helical elements and three loops (D, anti-codon, and T loops). Further hydrogen bonds mediate the characteristic L-shaped molecular structure. tRNAs have two regions of fundamental functional importance: the anti-codon, which is responsible for specific mRNA codon recognition, and the 3' end, to which the tRNAs corresponding amino acid is attached (by aminoacyl-tRNA synthetases). tRNAs cope with the degeneracy of the genetic code in two manners: having more than one tRNA (with a specific anti-codon) for a particular amino acid; and 'wobble' base-pairing, i.e. permitting non-standard base-pairing at the 3rd anti-codon position. Lineage: Bacteria; Pseudomonadati; Candidatus Zixiibacteriota. RNAcentral also lists the same sequence under 2 other names. The record is from RNAcentral.